GGGAGCGCGCGGCGGGAACCGCUCCGCCGGCAUCACCUCACGGCCCCGCGGGUCGGGCGCCUCCGUCCUCACACCGGCGCCUGCGGGAGCCCAGGUGGAGGCCAAACUCGAGUUCCAACCCCCUCCCCGUGCAUGCAAACGGCUUUUAACGCCGCUUACGUUACCCUUCAGCCGCCUCAGCCCCACCUGCGGGAGGACGAAGCUGAGGGGCCGCCGGGAGAGGCGCGAGGCCCUGUGAGGCGGCUGCCCCCGGCGCGACGCUGUGAGGAAGCACGGCAGGCAAUUAGCAUGCACAUGGAAGUUAAAUUACUGAUCUGGGAAAAUAAUCAAGAAAUCAGCUGAGUUGAGGAGAACGCGAACGUGUAGCUGCAAGGAACCAGGAUCUGAGGAGUAAAACUUGCACACCACUUAGCCAGCGUUCCUGCCUGGGUAAGCAGAAUGCACAGCCCUGGGAACAAUUUUCAGAAGGAUGUUAAGGGCCCCACUUAUCGAAAUCGACACCCAAGAGACAGAAUCCUGUCACCCAUCCUACUCCACACAGCUCUAACUCAGACAGCCUACUUCACUCCAGGUGCCUCACUGUUUUCUUCUCUCCUUCCUUCCCUCCAGCAUACCUAGGAAGUCAAUCAAAACAGGUAAACCUUUCUCAGAGGACUGGCAUGCUUCCCAGUCCUUAUCACCACUGUCCUCCUAUUGGGGAUUUCAAACAAUAUUAAUGGUGGCAUAAGCUGAGCUAUCACAGCUUUUAAAGGAGAAAGUGUCAGAGGGCUCUGUGGGAGAAGCACUGUGUCAGCUAGAUAUGCUUGAAACUAUUCUUAGAGCAUCAGUGAAAAAUAAUGUCCUUCUGGUAAGCACAUGCGCGUGGUACACUUAAUAAGAAACCUGGGUGAAACUGGAGUGAAGUACAGGAAGUUCACUAUGUGCCACUAUCACACGAUGUUUGAAAACUUCAGGUAUUAUGGUAUAUUUUUACUAAGUGUAACUAGGUGGAUCUCUGAGCAGGUACAAAGCAAUCAGAGAGCUCAAGCCUACAUUCUAGAUUUGUCCUUCAAUAAAAAGUAAUGUCUUCCCCAUCAAUAACACCACUAACACAAACCUGCAACAGCAAUUCUAAAAAUUAGCUAAUUAAAGCUCUAGUCAUCAAAGGAGCAAGGAUGACCACGUGCUACUUUGUGACCUGCCAGAAAGGAGCUACCCUGAAGGGAAAGGCAGCAGCUGUUUCCCAGCACAUAAGAGAAGUCAGUAUACUGCAGAGCAAAGCUGCUUUCAAACAAAACUGGGAGGAGUGUUAUGGGAUUGCUUGGGAAUGCAGCUGGAAAUGGGCCAGCACUUAGAACGCAUGAAGGCUGGUACUGUAUAAAUGGUAGAAAUAGGAGCAGCUGCUUAGAUAGGAAAAUAUUGUUUGGUCUACGUGUGAAUUCAUCACAUGGUAUUAUUAAAAAAAUGACCCACUAUUAGGUCAAAAAACAGUUAAGACUGAGAUAGCAUAUUUUGGUGUAAACUUGCAGGUCCUCUCUUUUUUCAAGAGUUCUCAUUUUGCUUUGGAAAAGCUUUUUGCACUACCACUGAGGAGGUGAGUUUUAGUCAGGCUUUGUUUUGUGCCAAAUAUCAUAGAAUUGGACUCUGAAAGGAUGGCAGGAACUAACCUAGGUCAGCAGCGUGGCCAGAGGGCAAAGCAAUGGCUUUGGUUUGGAAGCUGGAGGACAAGGAAGCGGUCAAACACAACCAAUCCUGUCCCUGCAGGUAGAAACACUUCUCCCAGCUCAGAUAAAUCACCACUUCUAACACAAAACAUACUGUGGAUCUGUGGGGCAUAGCAACCUUGUAUGGUUCCUUGUAAGAGGAGGCAGAGAACAAUGCUCUUUCCACAGAAAGAGCUAAAAAUGGGACCUUCUGCAGCAAGUCAACACAGGGGACAAAGACAGAGCUGACCUCAGGAAGAAGAGUUGUUUCCCCUAUGAAACUGCAUAACAGACAGACUUCUUGGCAGUGACAGGAGCUCUGCCAGACACAAGUAUGCUCCCCUCCUUCCCAAGGGCACAUUAGUCUAGAUGGGGCAGAAUUAUCGGCUACAGUUUUACAUCACCGUCUGCCCGAACCUUUACCUUAGCAAAUUUUGAAAGGCUUUGUUUACACAGAUGGACACAACAUGGCCUUCACUUCCAGCGAGAAUCAGCUAGAGGAAGCAUAUGAAUGAAAGAGCAGGUACAGGAUAUUGAGUUGUUCCCAAAAGAUAGAGCCAAAAGAUACAACAAAAGGAACCACAACUCAUGUUUUCAGUCAUACUAAAGAUGUAACAUUUUGUUCCAGUCUUUUGCUGACCUGAACACUUGCAGAGAUGCAAAUAGUCAUGACUGCAAAAUCCUCUCUUAAUUAUCCAAAGCAAUCCUGUCAGCAGGAAUAAACUUCUAAAAUGCAUUUUCUACAACUGGGAAACAAACUCCUGAGCCGCAGUAAUCACUGGGUAUCAACCACAGUAUGAGAGCUAUGCAGAAUGUUUUGGUCUUCACGCUAACUUGCUGCAAUGAAAUCUGACAAUAUAUUCUCUAAUAUAUUCUCUACUCUCUAUUAAUCAUAUCCCAAUUUUCAUUGUUUUAUAACCAUCCUGGAAACAAAAAUUAAAUCCAGAUCUAUUUUCCACAUACUUGUUGAAAGACUGAGUUGACUUAUAAAAAGGCUCACAAGCAAGCAUACAAAUAUAUUACCAGUGUGAAUUUCUCUUACCCACUGGGCAAAUAAAUACACUUGAGAAAUUCCAGAGAGCCCACUCUGUGCAACAAGUUUUGUGCAUAUUUAUUUUUAUAUAAUAAAACUUAUUUUUGUGCAAUAAGUUUUGCCAUAUACUGAGACAGCUCCAGCCCUGCCAUCAGUUCGUAUCCAGGGUAAGGGCCACACAAAAUCAAACAUGCUGCUCCAUCUUUCCCCCUCCCCACCCCUUCUUUACUUCCCCAUGUCAGAAGCAGAAGGGAAACGAGCACCCUAUUCAAAGGUACAAGUGAUUCAUUUUUGCAUUUCCAAGAGCCACUGAGACCUGAAAACUCUGUGCAGCUCUUGCAGCAAUUUGAAGCUGACGCCUGUUGCGCUCAGGCCUGAAUGGAUGGGAGAAUGAGUUAGCUGCUGUGGAUGUGGAGAAUCACUGUCAGAUAAUGCUUGGCACAGCUCACAAGUAAAGGGGCCAUGUGGAAAGGCAAAACCUUACUGGAAUAACGAGACCAUGUUCUCAGCAGAUCUUUGUCCCAGGCAUGCAGCCGAGCACAAUUCUGCACUGUAAUGAUGUGGUGUAUUUUCCUCCUCUUCUCCCUCUCUGAAGGUCACACAAGGACAACCCUUUCUGUUCCCACUAAAAGCCUUCUUGCAUGCAGGAUUCUUCACAUGGGAAGGAAGAGCAUGACAUGUCCCCACCCUAUGCUUUUCCUUUUCAAAGGGUGAGGCUACUACAAGGCUAAAAUUUCAAUAAAAAGGAGAUUGAGAUGGAGGCAGAUGAGAUAUCCCUCUUGUAAUGUUCAGAGGAAAAUGAUCCUGCAAAGCACAGCUCUUACUAAGAACAGAAAUUAAAAUUUCCUUAAAUAAAUAUAAGGAAAGAGUCCGUGAGGGACAGUAGCUGACAGAAACGAGAUGUGUUCAGGUCAGCCCCCCUUGUCCAUCGCCUUGCAGAUCUCCCAGGCAGAUUGAGUCAAUGGGCAGGCCAGCUUAGGACAGGACUGGUGGCUUUGUGUCGCUGCUCCUAUCUACGCCAUCUGCAGACAGAAACAGUUGUCAGGUCUUUGCAAGGAAACUGCAGCUUUGAAGGACACACGGAGUGGCUGUGACUUCCUCUACAGAGAGACCAGAAGUUACUUACAUCCGUAAACAUUUAUCCUUCCCUCCACUUGCUACCCUCUGUCCAUCUGGGCUCCAAUCUGUUGCAAAAACCUAGUGUAAGGAGAGACCCAGUUAGUCCUGCUGUCCUGGAAAGAUCAGUCAUCCCCACCUCCAACACCCCAGCUUGACUGGACACUCACCUCAUCUGCAUGGCCAGGAAGAUCAAUGGCCAGUUUCUUUGUCUCAGCAUCCCAGACCUUCAGCGUGCUGUCACUGCUUCCACUCACUAGCAAGCGGCUGUCAGCUGACCAGGCAAUCUGAUACACAGCUGAGACGUGCCCCCUCAGUGAUGUCAGGUACCUGAGGCAGAGGAGGCACAACCAAGCUGUUAGAGGAGCAGGCACCCAAGUUUGUCUCAAACCCACUCUUGUGUUGCCUUCAUAGUUCAUCAUAGAAUCAUUGUUUUUCAGCUGCAAUCAAGCCCUGCCAUGGGAUGCCCAGCACACUCCAAUCCUGUGCACACAAGGCAGCCAACUACUAUACAGAAUCCACUCAAUAUGUGUUAAAUCCCUUCCAGAUAGGUUCAGACCAUUCUAGAGGACAGGCUCUUUACCUCAAUUCCUCCACCACCAGCAGGCAAUGCUGCAGCCUCACUGUACAAGUGUGUCCUUUAUCCCUCUAGCUUAACAGGAACAUGCCUAGGCUUAGAAAGACCACUAAAUUACUGACACAAAACCAGAGAUCUUAGGUACAAAGACAGAACAAGGGAAGGACUGCUGCUCCAGGAAGCUCACUGAUACUCUGUCAGGAGGUUAAAAGCUGGAUUGCAGGGGCAUCCAAACACCAACAGCAUCACUCAUAGUUACACAAAUUUCCUUUAUCCAGAACAAGCUGUUCCCUGGCACGGGCACUGUUUAAACUGGGUCACUCUACAGUGUGCAACACGCACAUGUCUUCAGGAGAGCAGUCAAGUGGAACAUCCCACCCCACUAUAGCCAUGCCUGCCCCAGAGAACCAUCCCUGCAGCAGACAGCAUGUGUCAUUUGGGUGCAGUGCUGCGGCUGGGUAAAAGCAGAGCCACAUACACCCAGCCAAGCACAGACCAUGCAACACAUGAGGAGCCAGACAAGGGACCUUUCAAGGGCAGAAAGUGACAGCAGCAGAGCAAAGAGGGAGCAGAAUAUCUUUGAGAUGCUGAACACACCAAGGAGCUGCUGACAACGACAAUGGGGUGCUGCUGAUUUCUGCAUAACCUGUGCAUCACACACAGACCCAAACACCACCUUUGUAACAGAACAACAAAAAAAACUCACUUUCCUGUCCUGCCCUCCCAGAGCUUUAUUGAUUUGUCAAAGGAAGCACUGGCUAUUAUCCGGGUGUCUGGUGAGAAGAGGACUUGGUUAAUCAAUGCCUGGUGCCCUGUCAUUCUCUCCAGUGGCUUCUUGUCUUCUGCUGGCCUCCAAAGAAACAGUGUGAAAUCAUCUGAACCUGAGACGAGUCUUUCUGGUCCCUGGCCCUGAGAAAGGGAUGAAAGAGCUCAAAUUUUGUACAAGCCAGCUGUGGAAUGUUUGGAAACACACCCAGUGUUGGGGUCAACAGCCAACUGUGCAUGUUUACUGCUUCCACCAGCACUAGUGUUAUAAACCACAGCAAGGAUAAACUUUGUAAUGCAACUUACCCUGACUUUAUCAUACCUCUGCUGUGCCUUGUCCUUCAGUUCUGCCACUGGAAGAGAGAAAGGGAGAAGGGUAAGAAGAGAGACUGGAAAUUGCUGGGGGGAAAAGCAACUUUAUAACCUUGCAAUGCCAAAUACGGUCCUGGCUUUGUAGGCCAAGCAGACACAUUUGUGACCUCUCAGCCUAUUUCUCUUUGCCAAGGGCCACUCUGCUCCCAGAGUGGCCUUGAACUCAAGAUGGCCUUCCCAGCUCCCAGACUGCUCAACUCCAUGCACACACCAGAAAGAGCAUGGCUGUCAGCACGAAAUACAUCAGCACAGAGUCUCCUCUUAGAUUUCAAGAUUGCUUCAGCUCAUGGCAGCAUUAAGACGAGACGUCAGGUUUCCCUGUCAUCCCCUCCACGCUCCAACACAAGGCUGCACUUACAGGAGCCACUCAUAUCCUGUGGGUUGAUGGUGGCUUCAGCAGGUUCAAAGGCACCAGUGCGGAGAACGUAAUCGGUGCUAAGGGCCAUGGUGUUCACCCAGUGAGCGUGGCCUUGCAAGGUGCGGCAGAGGAUGCCCUAGAAACAAAACGACCCACUUAGAGGGACAGGCAAGACAGACAGACAGACAGACAGCUAUAACCUGUGCUAGGAAGAGCAGGCAAAGUUGCAUCCAGCCGCCUUUGUCGGCAGGCUGCAGGGCUACCCGCCCCACUUACAUCCUGGCUUCUCCACACUUUGAUAGUUCUGUCCUGGGAGGAGGAGUAGAGCAAGCCAUCACCGCCCCACUUCACACAAGUCACUGACUGCGUGUGACCCGUGAGGAUUUUGUCACACCUGCCCAUCAGCGUGUCCCAGAUGCGGAUGCUGCCAUCCUUGGAAGCACUGGCCAGGUAGCGGCACUCUGGGUUUCUGAACAAAAACAACACAAAAUCCAUUUGCACAGCGCAGACAUCCCCUCCACACAGAUCUCCCAGCAUCAGUCCCAGAGGAUUUAAGGGCCCAGAAGUCAAUAAAAGACAACCUUCUCUUUUGGGUUAAGACCAGAGAGAGGCCAGGCAGUGGGCUACAGAGAGCCGGAUUCUGCAGGUAGAGGAACAGCAGGCAGAUGCAUCCUUCCAAACCGACUGUUGGGUGGCACCCUGGAAGCACUGAUCCAGCAUAAACCCAGCUCCUGUGCUUUGGUAAUUACUCUGUUAUUACAGGAGGCAGCUUCAACCCACUGACUUAUAAGGGGACCGCAAACUGACACCUUCCCUGGGCAAGGAGACUUCCUCAAGCAGCACAGACCACCAGAAUCAAAACCAUGUAUAAUAUCCCCUGCCUACACCAUACUUCGUAUCUGGCAGGAGAUGUGCUGGCCUGCAGUCCAAGUGACGCAGAGCUGCAAAGUCCAUCCUCACAGUUCAGGAAGAGCAAGCUGGACACAGCUGGAAGCUGCUGGCCAGCACCCAGUGAGAACAGGAGAACAAUUGGCCCCCAGUCCUUCAUGCAGCAUUUUUAUCAACACCUUUUUAAUGACUCACUCCCAAACCAGCAGCAGUUCCCACACCUCCUUGGGGCAGUGACUCCUAUAGCCACCGGCACUUUGGCCCCGGUAGGAAAAGGACACUCACUGCCUCCUGCUGCAUCACAGCUCUCAGGAGUGGGAGCUGCCAGAGCACCAGCUUUGUUUCCCUUUAGCUGGCUGCUGACAACAAACUGUCCUCAAAGGAGAAGCAAAACCAAGCAGCACAGCAUGCCGAGCAGUCAGGAGAUGCAGUAACAAAUGAUAGCACCACCAGCCACAUCAAUGGCAUGAGGGCAGUGCGGGGCUGAGGAAGAGCACAACCCAUCCUUUUGUGCAGGAACUGAGCACAGACUGCAGCCAGCUGGAGAUAGGGAAGUCAAGCCCAGGCAGGAGCAUCUCCCUCCUCUCCAUUUCCUGAUCCUCCUCUAUAAUCAGUUUUUGCAAAUCCAAUUAAUUGUUUGCUGGAGUUUCCUACUGGCAAAUUCAAUUUACAGGGCUCUGCUCUAACAGGACCCACCCCCCUUUCUUUUUUUUUCCCCUCCAUCGCUGUAAUGUCUUGGAUUAUGGACUACAACUAUCCCCCUCCACUCAUCUCUCACUGACAGAGCUUUAGCUGAUCGGGAUAAGGAGCUUGCACAGUUAAUCAGUGCCCAUGACAAACAGAUGCAAUCAGGAUGCAGGACAUCAGAAAGGGAGCGCUUUGCAGAAGCUGAGCUUAGGCUCCAGGUUCACAGGCUUCCCUGCUUCCAGCUCAGCACCAUGGGCAGUUUGUGCGGCACUAUAAAAACAUUAAGCAGUUUCCAUCAACAGGUCUCACUUUUAUAGGAGGGUGAGGGAAUCCGAGGCACAGCUCAACAGCAAGCAGCAGCUGGGACUCCAGAGCUGGAUGCAUUUUUCCUGCCCCACCUUGUGAGCAUUUCUUCUGAACACACUCUGUCUGCACACCAUAACAGGACAAAGGCAAACAAGAGGAAUGCCCUUCAGAUCAAGCUCAUCUUUGCCUUAAAAGUAAAAGGGAAGGAAGGCUGGGCUGGCCCCUCACUUACAUGUGGAGCGGCUCCCAGCACAGACACGUGAUCCAUUUGGAAUGGCCAGUGAGAACGCGGCCGAUCUGAUUGCCGGUGGCUGGGUCCCAGAGAAAUAUCUGCCCAAGAGAGGAAGCAAGAGGGUUGCAUCAGGCCACAUGUCAUGUGAAUCCUAGGGAUGGUUUGGGCUCCAUUUAGAAAUGAUAGGUAUCUUCAGUCUUGUGGGGAUUUACAGAGCAGAAAGGGAGGGGAACAGGAGAACUGGAUGCCUUUGCUGAUCCCAGCCACAAUCAGCUGACAUCUCAAAGCAUGAGACCCGAUCACCUUCCUCUAUGCUUCAGAUGCUGCUGCUACAAAAAUAUCUGCCCCAGCCCAAAAGCAAUCUAGCUCUCCAGAAAGCCAGCCCGAGCCUUACAGCCUGUGCCAGGGAGUUGGUGAAUGUUUGCAGAGCAUGAUGAAAGCCAGAGCGGGCUAAAUGCUACUUAUUAUCGGAUUCUGUGGGUGGGACACAUGCUGGUUUUCUGUUGCUUUUUCUCUCUCUCUAUAAAUGCUCAUCAAAAGAGCCAAGGCAUUAGUCAUAUGCUGCAAGAAACUCGGGAGAAACAACGAAAACAGAACAAGCAGCUCUCUGGGUUAGAUUAAAGCCAGAACCCGCUUGUUUCUUUGGGCUCACAUCAGUGGCCUCACAGGGCAGCUGCUCAGACACUGAGCCCAGGUCAGCAGCACUCGGCAGCUCUGCAGCUGCUGUCCUCACUCCCAGGCUGUUCAAAAGACAGAGCAAGCCAACAUCCCGCUGCAGACUAACAACUUACUGACUUGCUUUUAAUUGUGCCCACCUGCUCCUGCUUCCCCAGGCAUUUCUGGAAGCAUGUUUAUCACACAAGUUUUGCCCCAUAUCCAGGGCAGGGCUCCCCCCACUAUUCCUCUAAGAAGGAAUUUGGCUGUGUCUGAGCAGGAACACUGUAAAACAGGCUGCUGCUGCAUGUCUGGGUCACACACACAGUCACCCUGGCUUGACCAAGCGAUACCCUUUCUUGCUCCAGACAUCUCUUUCAUGAUGGAACUGUCUGCCAAGACCACGUCGAGAGCUUGGACUCUUUCCUGUACAGAGGGAAAAGUGUCUGCCACAAGACAGCAGGGCUCUUGUAGUGACACUUCUGCAAAGGCAACAGAGUGCUGCCUGGCACAGCUGAGGCACAGGCCAGUUCAGAGACACUAUGUGCUACCACUGUGAUGUGCCAACAUGCAAAGCUUCUCCAGGACACUGGGAAUCCUGCCCUGAACAACUAGACACCUGCUUGCCCCAGCUGCUAGAGAAAACAAGUCUUCAUUGCUAAUACCCUGGAGCCCAUUUACCAGGUUUUUCUGGUUUUCCUUUCUUUUCUCCUUUCUGGUUUUCUCUGGUCCCUGGUUCAGAAUAGGGCUGUGGAGUGUCUCCUGGGCUGACCACUCCAGACCCUCUGCCAGGGUACUAAUGGACCUACCUGGCUGUUUUUGCAGCCUGAGGCCAGCUUCUUGCCAUCAGGAGACCAGGCGAUGCUGAGCACCCAGUGCCUGUGACCUGGCAGAAAGAGCACAAGCAAGUGUGAGCAGAGAGCUGCACCCACCUGUCCCCAACAUCCCAGGAUACAGCAGCCACAAGAGCAGGACAAGAGUGGGGCAAACCCUUUACGUUGCUCCUGGCCAGACCUUCUUUCUCUUUUUCCUCAACUCAGUGCAAAAGAGCUGCCCCAUUCCCCAGAGGACAGUCCCAGCCCACACAGCACCCCAGGUCUGUCCUGUUUGUCCCACUGAGUGGGAUGGGGGGGAGCUGCCCUCCCAGGACACUCUGCACCCACCUUUGGCUGUGAACUGCGGCGUCUCCGUGCUGAGGUCCCAGAAGCGGACGGUGGUAUCCCCCGAGCCGCUUGCCAGGUACCUGGGACAGGAGGAAGAGGUAGUAUCAGCACAGGGCCCCGGUGGCUGCUAGCUGGUGACAUGCCCCACCCACAGCCGGACCCUCAUACUUUCCCGUGGGGCUGAAGGCGACGGAGAUGACGGCCUCGGUGUGUCCCUCCAGGGAGCUGGUGCAGCGUGUCACCGCCCGCACCCUGAACACGGCCUGUGGCUGGUAGAUGAUGUCGAGAACCUUCUCUGUCUCCACUGCCUGCCCUGCCAAGGUCUUCUCCAGUGAAACGAUGAUCUCAGCAUCAUGGAAGAAGAAGGCCAAAGGCACCGGCUCAUCCUGGAGGUGAAAUUGCAGGAGAGGUGGCAGGGGGCAGCUCCGGGCACCAGGAGCAAAGUUCGCCCCGGACCCGGCAGCCUCACCUGCUGCAGUAGCGCGUUGCACACCAGCUGCAGCUUGUCCGGAGUGAUGCUGACGGGCACGUCGAAGGGAGAGCCUAGCGGCUCGCCGGCCUCAUCGCGGAACUGGAUCAGGAGCCGCUCUACAUCCUCGGUAGGCUCCAUGCUCUGCGGGACAGCGGAUUCAGCGCCAGUACGGGGUAGGAGUAGUCCCGCAGUGCUCAGCCCCAGGCAGAGACAGCCCCUGGCGGGGAGGUGAGCCGCUCCGGGGGAGCCUCGCAGUGGGGGCACCGGCAACGACCCACCCAGGAGGCCGGAGGAGCCCUAUAGGAGACUCCAUAGCAGUCGGGAGACCGCGGGACGCCCCAGCCCCUGCUAUCCCGUACAGCCCCACCCCACUCUAGGCUCUACGUGCGGACGCAGCCCCUCCGACCCAGCUCCGGUCCCAUCCCGUCCCGUCUUCCCCCACUGGGUACCGCUGCCGGCCCCGCUCACCGCGGCCAUGUGCCCGUACGUCCCACGUGGGCCGGAAGCGGCUGCUCUGCGCGGGGAGGGGGGGAGGAGGCGCUGGACGCGGCGCUGCUGCCCCCCGGUGGCCGGCGGUGGGAGCCCCGGGUUCGGGACUGCUGGGUGCGUUCCACUCAAAUACUGUCCAGCUGGGCUGGAAAAAGACUCAACCCUACCACGCAAACCCGGCAUGAAGCAAGCAGUAAAUUCCGCGUUGCUCGUCUCGUCUGCAGCGCAGCUGCUGAAAGAAUGCGUGAUCAGGGCCCAAACCUGGGGCCUCUAAUCUGUAAAUGUGCUCUGCUAGGAGAGCAAAGCAGCUGCUGAGGUCUGAAUGUGGCCAAGGUAGGAAAAAGAAAUAACGGUGCUGUAUGCAAAAUGGGUUGCGGUUCAAGUUUCUGCACAAGACACACCUAUGCACGUGCAGUUCAGUACUGCAUCGCAGGAUGUCCCAUCUGCACCCUUCCCUACCACACUUGUGAUCACACAGCCCAGCCCAGCGAGCAAUCACAGUUCCUGGCACAGAAAUCACAGAGCACAUCACUACUUGAGCUGAGGAAAGAAUCCUCCAGUACUUCACACUACAGCAGGUCCAGAGCUACCAGUGCUCCCUUAACAUACGGAGGGCAUUAAGCAGAGCCACAGAGCAGCCAGAACUCUGCCUUCACUUGGGUUUUCUCCAUCAGCUCUCCACCCAUCAAAGAUAUCAGGCAUGGCAACAGUGAGACACCCUAAUACAACUCCCCACACCCCCCCCCAGCUCAAAAACUUGUUUAAUAUUUAUAGACGUGAUUCCUCAUUCAAUGUCAUCCAUUUCAAGACUAAGAAAUGUCUGCAAAUGUGAAGAGCAAACAUCACAGUGGUUUAUCUCUUUUUUUGAACCUCCAUUAAAAAAAAAAACAGCAUGUAAAUUCAAAUCCCAUCAAAACAGAAAAUUGACACAAAUUUUAAUAUUUAUAUAUUUUAAAUCAAAACACAAUUAAAUAUAGUAUGCUUUAAGUACAUGAAUACUUGGGCAUGAGAGAAAUAAGAGGUGGUACAUAGUACCAAAAACCUAUACACAGCCUUUUUUGCCUUUUUUUUGUUAUAUAUAGACAAUACAGUGUCUCUCUAUACAAUCAAAUAUUGCAACAGAAUAACACUUGCUAGUCAAUCAAAAUGUUUGGAACACUGGAGAUGAUUUGAGUUCUUUUGCAAAGUGAUUUUUUGCACAAGUUCAAGAAAAAGAAAGCAAUCAUGAGUGAAAUAAAAAACCCCAAGUAGAAGUGCUGUAUACUAAAAAUGCAGCGAGAUCGUAACAGAGUUACACACAGUGCUUUUGAUACUCUGUAAAAAUCAAUUCACUGGGAAAAAGGAAGGUGCUGUGGCUUUACUUAAAGGUUUCGUAUGUUGCAAGUAUUGACAGUGUCAGGAAAAAGGCGGUCAGAGGUCAUUGAAGUUAUUUUCCUUUGUAAACCAAACAUCUGGAAUUAAAUACUAUGUUGGUUUGAGGACAACAAGCUAUGCAGAAUGGCAGUAACACAUGGCAGCAAUUACUUUUUUCCUCGCUUAGGGGAUGGAAAGGAAAAAAAAUGGAGCAGUCUACUGGGUAGAAUCUCCUCAAAACGUGGUGUGCAUUCACAGCUGAGGCUCAGGAGCAGAGGGUUGCACAAGCAUAAGAUUUAGAGUCUGCUCGAGUCUGCUGCGUGUUAGAAGCAGGAGAUGACUGUAUGUGUGCAAGUGUCAGAGCUUGACAAGGAAGAGUUACACCAUCCAGGCUUUGUUCCUCAUCAUUCUACGCUGCCUUCAAAGUUAAUGUAGUUAUGAAGUAAAAUACAUUUAUCUUACAGUUGAAUACUCGUCUAUUUCAAGUAAGGAAAAUUAAAAACUUAGAACUUUUUAGGUCAUUCACUGCCAAAUGAAUUCACCGUUUCAGGUCUGCUCCUCCAAUGGCCAACGUCAGGGACAUGUUUCAUGGCCUUUGCAGUUACGUGUUUCAAAAUCACUGGUUGCAGAACUAGAAACUACAGCAAAACUCUCCCCUCCUUGUUGCAGCUUGUGUCCCGUUCCAGAUAUUUUGCUUAGGAGUCUUUUUGAGAUGGGGUCAAGUAUUUAUGAAGCUGAUCACAGUUUCUCAGUGACACAUUCAGCAAUGGUCUCUUCAUCUCUAAAAACCA
Gallus gallus (chicken) is the source of this 12938-nucleotide long non-coding RNA. RefSeq lists it as uncharacterized. Lineage: Eukaryota; Metazoa; Chordata; Aves; Galliformes; Phasianidae. The transcript has 2 exons. The record is from RefSeq and is a predicted model, not a curated record.